UCAAAAAUAGUUUAAAAGUUAAAAAUUUUAAUUUUGGAGAUUAAAGAUAAAUAUAAUUUUUUUUGAA
RNAcentral lists this transfer RNA (67 nucleotides) under Encyrtus eulecaniumiae. RNAcentral describes it as "tRNA-Pro". Lineage: Eukaryota; Metazoa; Arthropoda; Insecta; Hymenoptera; Encyrtidae. The record is from RNAcentral.